GCCAUGUCCAAGUGUGGCGCACCAUUUGGGGAAAUCAGCUAGGUGGCGUGAGGAGCCCAAAGUGGGCCAGGUGUAAGCGCCCAAAUGAAUUCAUGUGCAUGAAGCAACAUGCAGCGUGAAUUAUAAAUGACCAAGACUGGUGCAGCGUGAACCCAAAGUGGCCAAGCAAGGUGCCGCGCAUGAAGCUUGCAAGGUGAUUUAUCCAUGGAAGGGCCAAGUGGGGCGGACAACGUGCAUGGAAAAGAAGUCCAACAUGCAGCGUGAAGUGAAGAAAGCCCAUUUGGGCGUGAAGAGUUGCCCAGCCCAUGGGAGCCAAACACUUGGCGGCAAGCUUCCCUCCAUGGCAAUUUGAAAUACACCAAGCGGGAGCUAGGUGUCCAAAGGCAGCAGGUCUUCAUGUCCUUCCCAUAAUAUUUUAUGUGUAAGUUUAAAGUGUUUUAAACAUGGCCACACAUUGGUUAUCAUUAGGGGCAGCCGGCCAAAAAGAUUGUAUAUAAAGGGUUUGUUCCCUUGUUUUUGUUCACCGAGAGAGUGAGCUUGAGAGUGACGGGAGCACCAUUGUUGGAGAGCUUUGAGAGUGUUUUCCUUUUCCUUUGGCAAUUGUAAAGUUUGAUUGUAAAGGAAUAAAGAAGUAGCUUUCUACUUCCUAAAAUCUUGCCUCCUACCUUUCUUGAAUGCUUGUUUAUGCAUGGGUUGUCUUUGCUAUGAAUUGUUGCGCAUUGGUGAUUGUUGGAGCUUGCUUGCGUGAGGUUAGUGGCCAUUUGUUGCUUGUAUAUUGUGCAUGGGAU
This 788-nucleotide unclassified non-coding RNA is filed under the name Hevea brasiliensis (rubber tree). Lineage: Eukaryota; Viridiplantae; Streptophyta; Magnoliopsida; Malpighiales; Euphorbiaceae. The record is from RNAcentral.